This is a long non-coding RNA of Eleginops maclovinus (Patagonian blennie), 1103 nucleotides long. RefSeq lists it as uncharacterized. The transcript is spliced from 3 exons. NCBI's taxonomy places the organism in Eukaryota, Metazoa, Chordata, Actinopteri, Perciformes, Eleginopidae. The record is from RefSeq and is a predicted model, not a curated record.
UGACGUCAUCUACCUGCGUUGCACUCUCUCUCACUCAGGUGUUUGAUGGCAGACUGAGACUGGUGUGUUGCAGACGUCCAUCUGUAUUAAUGCUGCUGCAUUAUUGUGUUUAUUUCAUGCAGAGGAAUAAAUACGCCACAGUUUCGGUUAAAGACAACAACCGAAUCUCCUUGUCCAUCAAACACGCUCAACACAACGCAGAGUCGUAGCAAGGGUCUGCUGAGAAGCAGGCCCAGACCAGCUACACUGGCACACAUGGCUGAAGCAGAGCGUGAAAUGAAAAGCGAGAGAACAGCAUGAAAUGUGACCAAAGUUGGGGAAAAUGGACAUAUUUAUCCUUUUGUUUUUUUGAAGAAGGCCUGGGAAAUAAUGGCACAAUUUUUACAUAAAGCCAUGCAAUCUUCACAAACACUGCUGAUAUUAUGCUCAUAUUUACACCCUGCUCUUGUUUUACGCCGUGUAAUAAUGGAUCAUUGUCACCGACUGAUGUACGACGGACACAGGUCUGCUGUUGUUGCAGUCUGAUGUGUAAAUGUGGGGGGAAAUAAUAGGAAUUAUCCAUAAACAGGCAAAAUACUGAAAUAUUUUACUUACUGAGGCCCAGUUUUCUCAGCAAAUGUAAUUAUGACAUCUUUUUUCUUGUAUUUUGUAAUUUUCUUUUGGUUAAAUGUUUGCACUCGACCCUUGACCCAAUGUAUUAUGGUUAUUUUUGCAAUUACACCAUAGCUCCUGUUUAUUCCGACAUAACAUUUUCAUAUUUUUAGAAUGAUUUAAAAAUCCAUCACAGUUCUGAUCAAUCUCCAUUGCUUUAGCAUGUUAGCAUUAGCAUUACUAAAGCUUCCUCUCCUAUUGGACCAAAAAACGGCUGCUAAAAUCGCCAUUCAUUCCCAGGACUGUGCAGAUGAACUGUAUACUAAUGCUUGAUAGGAAAAGGCUAAGCAUACACACAGGCUUUGAGAGUGUUGGUUGAAGCAGGAUUACGUAAUCAGGAUACCAAAAUACAGGCUACAGUAUUCCCUUAAACAAGACUUAGUCAGAUAACUGUUAUAUGGCUAAACAUGAGGGAUUACUAGCAGAAUUACAAUGUUAAAUUGCAUUUUUCA